Molecule: ribosomal RNA, 165 nt
Filed under: Lophiostoma sp.
Lineage: Eukaryota; Fungi; Ascomycota; Dothideomycetes; Pleosporales; Lophiostomataceae
Description: partial large subunit ribosomal RNA
Rfam family: Eukaryotic large subunit ribosomal RNA
Source: RNAcentral
CGGCAACAGCUCAAAUUUGAAAUCUGGCCCUCUCAGGGUCCGAGUUGUAAUUUGGAGAGGAUGCUUCGGGUGUGGCCCCGGUCUAAGUUCCUUGGAACAGGACGUCACAGAGGGUGAGAAUCCCGUACGUGGUCGCUAGCCUUUACCGUGUAAAGCCCCUUCGAC